UAGAUACCCUGGUAGUCCACGCCGUAAACGAUGAGUGCUAAGUGUCGGGGGGCUUCCGCCCCUCGGUGCUGGAGUUAACGUAUUAAGCACUCCGCCUGGGGAGUACGACCGCAAGGUUGAAACUCAAAGGAAUUGACGGGGACCCGCACAAGCGGUGGAGCAUGUGGUUUAAUUCGAAGCUACGCGAAGAACCUUACCAGCUCUUGACAUCUUCUGUCCACUCUAGAGAUAGAGCUUCCCCUUCGGGGGC
RNAcentral lists this ribosomal RNA (250 nucleotides) under uncultured bacterium. Its description in RNAcentral is "partial 16S ribosomal RNA". It matches the Rfam family "Bacterial small subunit ribosomal RNA", at positions 779 to 1027 of the family's 1533-position model. The record is from RNAcentral.